GAGGUGAACGCCACUGACCACACUGGCCGCACUGCGCUCAUGACGGCGGCUGAGAACGGGCAGACUGCUGCUGUGGAAUUUCUGCUGUAUCGAGGGAAGGCAGACCUUACUGUGUUGGAUGAGAACAAGAACACGGCCCUCCACUUGGCUUGUAGCAAGGGCCAUGAGAAAUGUGCCCUCAUGAUCCUGGCAGAAACCCAAGACCUUGGCCUUAUCAAUGCUACCAACAGUGCGCUGCAGAUGCCACUCCACAUUGCUGCCCGGAAUGGUCUAGCUUCUGUGGUACAGGCCCUGCUGAGUCGUGGGGCCACAGUGCUGGCUGUGGAUGAAGAAGGUCACACCCCAGCACUGGCCUGUGCCCCCAACAAAGAUGUGGCAGACUGCCUGGCCUUGAUCCUUUCCACCAUGAAGCCUUUCCCACCCAAGGACGCCGUCAGUCCUUUCAGCUUCAGCCUGCUCAAGAACUGCAGCAUUGCAGCCGCCAAGACGAUUAAUGACCCUGCACCCUCCAGGCCCCUACUCACAUCCUCCCCCAACCGGCUUCAGGUCCUCCCACCACACUCUGGUUUUCUAUGCUGUUUUGGUGCAAGUACAACUGUCGUAGUCAUGGCUUUGGGAUGGGUUCUGUUUAUUAAAAUCCUAUUGCUCCUA
Molecule: small RNA, 651 nt
Filed under: Pongo abelii (Sumatran orangutan)
Lineage: Eukaryota; Metazoa; Chordata; Mammalia; Primates; Hominidae
Description: processed transcript
Source: RNAcentral